Bactrocera neohumeralis is the source of this 4617-nucleotide long non-coding RNA. RefSeq lists it as uncharacterized. Lineage: Eukaryota; Metazoa; Arthropoda; Insecta; Diptera; Tephritidae. The record is from RefSeq and is a predicted model, not a curated record. The transcript has 3 exons.
UUUAAAGGUAAAAGGCAUGCAAUAUUUAAGCUCUAGUCUCCACAUACGCUCCAAUGUACAUACUUCUGUUUUAAUGUGUGUGCGUAUAGCAUUGGCUGUAGGCGACAAAAGGCAAAAAGCUAUGUGUAGUCCAACAUUUGACUGACGGCCUGACAGAGUUUGGAAAAGUGAGUGCGUGUUUGACUGACAGACCGAUGAAACAAAACAGCUAAUAGUAUAGAGAUACGUAUGCAUAGAAUUGCAGCAAUGUUGCAUGUGGUCUUUAUAGUAUAGGAAUAUGCAUGGAUGGAUGGCUAAGCGGAAAAUGCUGAAAUUGACUGAAGACGAUCAGUAUUAGCUACACAACCAGCGAGCAUUUGCGUAACGUCAGAACUACAAACAUGUGGUGAAAGAAGAAAGAUUAUUGCAGCAAAAACAAUGCGGAAAACUCACAAAAAAAUACAUUUAUAUCAAUUUAGAAACUCACAUGGAUAUUAACAACACAAAAUGCCCAUGCACAGGAAGUUUACAUAGGCCAUUUGUAAGCCAAAUGCAAAGCGCAAACAAUGCAGUGGCGAUAAAGCACACACAGGCAGCGUGAAAGCAAGAAGAAGACGUGUGAAGACAGACAAACAAAUAUAAAUGGUUUUGUGGCUAAAUGUGGUGAAGGAAAUGGCAUUUUGUGGCAUGAAAAAUAAAAUCACAUUGUCGGAGUGGCAAUAAUGAAAUGGAGCUUGUCAAGUCAUUAAAUUCAGAGUAACACAAAAGAAACUGUGAAAAAAAAACCAAGUUUUUUGUAUUAUAUUGUAUUGUUUGACAUCAGCCAGUAGCUUGACAAGUUGGAUUUUUUUCCUUUUGAUUUCAGGUCGCUCAUCACGACGAAUGGAUAUCAAAUCUAUAAGCAUAAGCGGUGUAUCUGUUCGCACGACAGUCGGGUCUACGUAACCGGAACGGACCCGGAUUUUUUAUCCGGCCAAGGACUGUCAACUCUACAGAAUUCUGCCGCUACAAAAUGAAUUGAUUUCCAAUCGUUCAAAAUAUGAAGGUUGACGAUUUUUUAAUUGUUCGCUUAUAAAAGUGUUCGACUGAUUUUCCGUAUACGGUGUCGUAUAUAUGUAUAAAUAUCUAUUCGCUGUCUUCAUGAUUAUUCGAAGGUGUUUUUUGAAUGCAGGAUCCUGAACAGGAUGUAUUAAGUUUGCCAUGAACUUUGUAACCCCGUCAUUAGAGAUCUUAUAAAGAAAACUAACCAAUUAAAAUCAAGUUCUUAAAUGGCAAACUUUUUUAUUCGACAAGAUAUCUUUACGAAAUUUGGCAUGGACCAUCUUUCAUAGCAACGGUAGAAUUUCCGAAUAAAUUUUUCAGAUCGGACCACUUUACUCGUGGCCACGCAAACCUUACCAGUGAAUAUUCUAAUGAAUAUAACACACUUUUGAUUGUAUGUUUUGAAUGCGCGGAAACCAGCGGCUAAACCAUUUUGAACCAAGAAAAUGAGGCUUGCUCGUUUGAAUUGGACGAAAACGCACUGUAACUGGUCCUUGGAGUAGUAGAAAACGGUAAUAUGGUCGGAUGAAACCUGAUUUAAUUUGCACUGCAGCGACCAUUUACCGUAUGUCCCCCGAUUUCCGGGGGAACGUUUCGCCGAAAAUUGUAUGACGAGAACGGUUAAGCAUCCUGAAAACCAAAUGGUCUGGGCGUGCUUAUCUUUUUAUAUCCGAGGUCCUUUACUUUUUAUUGAUGAGAUGAUGAACGCUCAGAAGUAUCGGAAGGUUAUAUCCCAUUUUAUCGUGUCAGUCGUAGAACAAUAUGGGCAUAUUUUUAAGACCAUCUUUCAGGACGACUAAGCAACGUGUCAUCGAGCUAAAUCGGUUCAGAAAAUGUUUGCAGAUAUUGAGAUAUCGCAUAUGACAUGGCCAGGAAGUUCUCCCGAUUUGAGCCCGAUAGUAUAUCUUUGGCAUGCCAUGAACAUGAAAAUAGCUCAACACUGGCCAAGCUCAAAGACCGAACUGAAAAUAAUACAUAAUAAGGUGUGGGAGCAAGGAAUUUCAACCGAAUGCUUUAUGAUCGGUUUUUUGUAAAUCGCGAAAUUGGAAAGAAAUUUUUUAUUGUUGUAGCGACAUAAAACAAAAGAAAAAUCCAUUAGGAAUGUCAGUUCUUGGGCAGUGACAUCUAAAUGUAACUCUUUCUCUCUUUCUCUCUGAUUAGCCAUUAACACGUGCCAAAGUAAUCAAAUCAAACACUAUGAUACAAUGCUUUUAAACAUUUUAAUUAAAUAGUUUAGCCAAAUUCUUGGAUCUCAGUUAUUUUUUACCACACACUUCAUAAAAACAAUUUCCUUUUAUCUUUGUUGCCAACACGUUUUCAACAUGACAUUAUUAGGGGAUGUGCGAGAAUUGUAUGGCACAUUUGCAAACCAUUAACGACACUUGACUUUUCUGUAUGCAAAUUGCAAAUAUGCGAGACCAUUUGCACCAGAUUGUGAAUUGCCCUAAUAUGUUUGUAUGUAGUAAGUGCAUAUGGCCACGUUUGAGCGCCCGAUUGUCUCGUCUUACAAUCUCCAAGGACUGCGUGUAGCAUGUAAUCGGAUUUUAAAUGCAAAAGGGAGUGUAUUUCAAAAUUGUAAAAUUUUCAGCCCAAUUAAAUAUUUAUGUGUAAGCAGACACACAUGUGUUACAAAAAGAAGAAGAAAAAACGGAGGCAUGCAAAUGUUUUACUCCCAAAGGUAAAUGAGCAACAAAUGUUGGCAAUGUUGCAUGCACAGUUACAAUGAGGAAAUGAGGAUAUUGUGCAUUGCAAAUGAUGACGAUUUGUUAACCGCAUUAAGGAGACGAAAAAAACGCAACAGAUGCAAAAGAAUUUCAAUGUGCAGCAAGUGAUACCACGACCAAGCAAUUGCAGCAAGUAGGCCGGGCUAACGGCAAUAAAAGAUGGACAUCAACCGCAGCGGCAACAUGUGCAACAGACAACAGCAAUAUGUGAGGUUCCCAAUUGUUUAAAAUUAGAUGAAACCAUCAAAGAAAGCAAAUUUUACCAAAAAAACAAAGUACGCAAUUUUGCCAUUUGCGCGCAUAUUCAACUUUGUAGCUUCGUAGCAAGAAUGUGAGUUGAAAAAAAAACAAAAGUGAAGAACUCACAGUUGCACAGCAAGCAUAAUCAAAUAAGUGCAUAAGUGAAUUUGCGAGGCAACAAAAGGUUUAGCAACAGCAGGAAGCACUACACAUUCUUGCCCUGCCUUCGUUCAUUUUUUCCAAACGAUUCGCAGUCGGUGUACAUUAAAGGAUAAUAACCCACAGCCACAGGCAACCGAGCGCCCUCUUGAACGCUUGAACGUCCGCAGCAACCCCAUGGAAAUUUUGCGAAUGCCUACUGGCGACUAAUGUGUGGCACAUGCAUAUGCGUUGGCGCUCAACGCGCCGCAAACACACGCAGACGCACGCAUGCUUACAACUAAAUUGUUAUUGUUGCCACACGGCAUAUGCCGUUCGGUCAAAAGCGAAAGAAAACCGCCAACUGUCAGUGGACAAUGGCUAGUGUUUAAGUUGGUCAAUGCUCGCUGCUGCUGGUGCUUCGUGUGGAGUCACGAGAUGAAACGCGCCAGCGUCGCGUAGAAGGGAUGGAGGAGCAACGGCAAGCGGCAUGUGGCAUGCGAUAAUGCAAGGAAACAAAGGAAACUUCAAACAUUUGCACGUUUCGUUUAAGAGACGAUGAGCAAUGCGGCGAGUUGUCGUUGGACACACGCGUCACCCUUUUCGAACAGAGUUAAUAGUUACCUACUUACCACUUACUUCACUCCACGCGACUUGUUAACACACUUAACUUAGCCUUGUAGGUACUGGUCAUACGUUUGUUGUUGGCAGACAUUUAAAAGCUUAUUAUAUGUAUGUGCUGGGUUUCCUUUACAAAUUGAAGGGUCAUAAGCCUUUAAGUCUAAUUAAAUACUUGACUAAAAGGUUAUGUUAACAACUUCCUUUAAUUCCUUAUUUUAUAUUUUAAUCACAUGCAAGGAAAAGUGAGGUAUUGUGUAAGGCUUUAAGAGCGUGAGGCAAAGCUUUAAUGGCAUGCCAACGAAAUCUCUGCGUGCACGCGACCAAAAGAGAUAUUCAUUUAUGAAUAUGUAAAAAAUAGUAAUUUAUAUUAAAAAUAAUAAUUUCGAUUUUUUAAAUUGGAAUUCUUUCUUUAAAUGGAAACAGUAACGGAUUAGAUCUUGAAAAUUACAAAAAGAAAGAAAUUCAUAGUAGAUUUAAAACCAGAGAUAUCAACAUACAUACAAAGCAAACCAUACUAACCUUAAAAAGAACAGGAAAAAACGUUAACUUCGGCUGCACCGAAGCUAAUAUACCCUUCACAGGUGCAUUUUUUUUAGUAACUAUGUGUUCAGUUUGUAUGGAAGCUGUAUGCUAUAGUAAUCCGAUCUGAACAAUUUUUUCGGAGAUUAUAUUAUUACCUUAAGCAGUAAUCCAUGUCAAAUUUCGGGAAGAUACCACGUCAAAACGAAAGUUUCCCAUGCAAGCAUUCGAUUCCGAUCAUUCAGUUUGUAUGGCAGCUAUAUGCUAUAGUUAACCGAUCUGAACAAUUUCUUCGGAGAUUGCAUUGUUGCCUUAGAAAAUAAUCUAUACCAAAUUUUGUGAAAAUACAUUGUGA